RNAcentral lists this ribosomal RNA (395 nucleotides) under uncultured bacterium. Its description in RNAcentral is "bacterial SSU rRNA". It matches the Rfam family "Bacterial small subunit ribosomal RNA", at positions 29 to 425 of the family's 1533-position model. The record is from RNAcentral.
AUUGAACGCUGGCGGAAUGCUUUACACAUGCAAGUCGAGCGGCAGCGCGGGGGCAACCCUGGCGGCGAGCGGCGAACGGGUGAGUAACAUAUCGGGAACGUACUCUGUCGUGGGGGAUAACUAUCCGAAAGGAUAGCUAAUACCGCAUACGACCUGAGGGUGAAAGCGGGGGAUCGCAAGACCUCGCGCGAUAGGAGCGGCCGAUAUCGGAUUAGCUAGUUGGUGGGUAAAGGCUCACCAAGGCGACGAUUCGUAGCUGGUCUGAGAGGACGACCAGCCACACUGGAACUGAGACACGGUCCAGACUCCUACGGGAGGCAGCAGUGGGGGAAUUUUUGGACAAUGGGGGCAACCCUGAUCCAGCCAUUCCGCGUGAGUGAAGAAGGCCUGGUUCG